Molecule: long non-coding RNA, 398 nt
Organism: Aedes aegypti (yellow fever mosquito)
Lineage: Eukaryota; Metazoa; Arthropoda; Insecta; Diptera; Culicidae
Exons: 3
Source: RefSeq, a predicted model, not a curated record
AGCAGCGGCCAAAACGUUUUAAAUCAGCUCAAUAAUGUUGAACGGAAGACUUUUGCUUACUACAUUGGCACAUCUAAUAAAGUUGUAUGGCGUGCUCAGCCCUCAUCAGAGGACGCCAUCAUCAAGGGACAUUUGGCUCCGGGAACUUACCACAGGAAGAGAUUAGCAGUUACGAAUUGAUGAAAUUGGAUUCAAUAAUUACGAAAAGGUUAUUUUGUGGGAAAGCUUCAAUCUGGUCAUCGUGAGCGAUUCGUAAACAGCUGGUACAAGUAUGUGGGAAGAUUAUUGUGAUCAACGCGAGACAGAUUGAAAGAAACCUAAACCAUGAGUAUCAGACACAUACACCACAUAUAAAUCAUAUGAAAAUAAAUGCGUUGCUUUAAGGUGAAGAUAAAUCG